This 253-nucleotide ribosomal RNA is filed under the name uncultured bacterium. RNAcentral describes it as "partial 16S ribosomal RNA". It matches the Rfam family "Bacterial small subunit ribosomal RNA", at positions 524 to 776 of the family's 1533-position model. The record is from RNAcentral.
UACAGAGGGUGCAAGCGUUAAUCGGAAUUACUGGGCGUAAAGCGUGCGUAGACGGUUACAUAAGUCAGAUGUGAAAGCCCCGGGCUCAACCUGGGAAUUGCGAUGGAGACUGCAAGGCUUGAAUCUGGCAGAGGGGGGUAGAAUUCCACGUGUAGCAGUGAAAUGCGUAGAGAUGUGGAGGAACACCGAUGGCGAAGGCAGCCCCCUGGGUCAAGAUUGACGCUCAUGCACGAAAGCGUGGGGAGCAAACAGG